This 496-nucleotide ribosomal RNA is filed under the name uncultured bacterium. RNAcentral describes it as "partial 16S ribosomal RNA". It matches the Rfam family "Bacterial small subunit ribosomal RNA", at positions 29 to 507 of the family's 1533-position model. The record is from RNAcentral.
AUGAACGCUGGCGGCGUGCCUAAUACAUGCAAGUCGAGCGAACAGACGAGGAGCUUGCUCCUCUGACGUUAGCGGCGGACGGGUGAGUAACACGUGGAUAACCUACCUAUAAGACUGGGAUAACUUCGGGAAACCGGAGCUAAUACCGGAUAAUAUAUUGAACCGCAAGGUUCAAUAGUGAAAGACGGUUUUGCUGUCACUUAUAGAUGGAUCCGCGCCGCAUUAGCUAGUUGGUAAGGUAACGGCUUACCAAGGCAACGAUGCGUAGCCGACCUGAGAGGGUGAUCGGCCACACUGGAACUGAGACACGGUCCAGACUCCUACGGGAGGCAGCAGUAGGGAAUCUUCCGCAAUGGGCGAAAGCUUGACGGAGCAACGCCGCGUGAGUGAUGAAGGUCUUCGGAUCGUAAAACUCUGUUAUUAGGGAAGAACAAAUGUGUAAGUAACUAUGCACGUCUUGACGGUACCUAAUCAGAAAGCCACGGCUAACUACGUG